GAUGAAGAACGUAGCGAAACGCGAUAGUUAAUGUGAAUUGCAGAAUUCAGAGAAUCAUCGAGUCUUUGAACGCACAUUGCGCCCCCUGGUAUUCCGGGGGGCAUGCCUGUCCGAGCGUCAUUGCUGCCCAUCAAGCGCGGCUUGUGUGUUGGGCCGCCGUCCGCCUUCCCCCCCGGGGGGAGGGGGACGGGCCCGAAAGGCAGCGGCGGCACCGCGUCCGGUCCUCGAGCGUAUGGGGCUCUGUCACCCGCUCUGGAGGCCCGGCCGGCGCCCGCCGACCCCCAACCUUCUUCUAACCAGGUUGACCUCGGAUCAGGUAGGGAUACCCGCUGAACUUAAGCAUAUCAAUAAGCGGAGGA
This 359-nucleotide unclassified non-coding RNA is filed under the name soil metagenome. Its description in RNAcentral is "partial contains 5.8S ribosomal RNA, internal transcribed spacer 2, and large subunit ribosomal RNA". The stretch from base 1 to 120 matches the Rfam family "5.8S ribosomal RNA", at positions 35 to 154 of the family's 154-position model. The record is from RNAcentral.